GAAAUGCGAUACGUAAUGUGAAUUGCAGAAUUCCGUGAAUCAUUGAAUCUUUGAACGCACCUUGCGCCCCUUGGUAUUCCGAGGGGCAUGCCUGUUUGAGUGUCAUUGAAACCCCUCAACUUGACCUUUUUGGAGGUCGAGCUUGGAUUUGGAGAGUGCCGGCCAGUUUCGGCUCCUCUGAAAAGCAUUAGCGAGCGACUCUUGCGUCUGCUUUGGCGUUGAUAAACCUGUCUACGCCCUGGGCACGCUCGACGCGUUUGCUUACAGUCGUCUCUAGGGACAACCGUAACCCAACAAUCACCUCAAAUCAGGUAGGACUACCCGCUGAACUUAA
RNAcentral lists this ribosomal RNA (334 nucleotides) under Hygrocybe sp. 204-94. RNAcentral describes it as "eukaryotic LSU rRNA". The stretch from base 1 to 105 matches the Rfam family "5.8S ribosomal RNA", at positions 50 to 154 of the family's 154-position model. The record is from RNAcentral. Lineage: Eukaryota; Fungi; Basidiomycota; Agaricomycetes; Agaricales; Hygrophoraceae.